Non-coding RNA from Pelobates cultripes (western spadefoot toad), 230 nucleotides. NCBI's taxonomy places the organism in Eukaryota, Metazoa, Chordata, Amphibia, Anura, Pelobatidae. The record is from the annotation of a GenBank genome assembly.
GUUCAGUAUAUCAAGAUCUUGGGGCAGUGGAACAAAAUGGUGCUUUAGAGAACCAAGUUCAUCAAAGACUUAAAGGUGGGCAAAGAUACCUAAGAAUGGUCUUAAAAAUACCACACCAUAUCUAUCCUGAUAUAUUUAGAAAGUUACAAUACUAUUGCAUCACUGCAUAAUUUUGCUAAAUAUUAAACUCAUUCUUCAACUUGUAUGAGUCACUGGAGGAGUGAAUUAUU